GACAAACGCUGGCGGCAUGCCUAACACAUGCAGGUCGAACGGACAGAACAGGGAAGCUUUUCGGAGUGGAACUGGAAAGUUAGUGGCGGAUGGGUGAGUAACGCGUGGACAACCUACCUUGUAAAGGGGAAUAACCUCGAGAAAUCGAAGCUAAUACCCCAUAAUAACCUUGCUUCGCAUGAAGUAAGGAGGAAAGGCGGCCUUAGCGCUGUCGAUACAAGAUGGGUCCGCGUCUGAUUAGCUAGUUGGUGAGGUAAAGGCUCACCAAGGCGACGAUCAGUAGCCGGCCUGAGAGGGUGAACGGCCACAUUGGGACUGAGACAAGGCCCAAACUCCUACGGGAGGCAGCAGUGGGGAAUCUUCCGCAAUGGGCGAAAGCCUGACGGAGCAAUGCCGCGUGAGUGAAGAAGGCCUUCGGGUUGUAAAACUCUGUCCUUAUCGAAGAGAGAGUGUUGUAGUAACUGACAAUACUAGGACGGUAGAUGAGGAGGAAGCCCCGGCUAACUAUGUG
RNAcentral lists this ribosomal RNA (511 nucleotides) under uncultured bacterium. RNAcentral describes it as "partial 16S ribosomal RNA". It matches the Rfam family "Bacterial small subunit ribosomal RNA", at positions 28 to 507 of the family's 1533-position model. The record is from RNAcentral.